UACGGAGGGGGCGAGCGUUGUUCGGAAUUACUGGGCGUAAAGCGCACGUAGGCGGCUUUGUAAGUUAGAGGUGAAAGCCCAGGGCUCAACCCUGGAAUUGCCUUUAAGACUGCAUCGCUAGAAUUGUGGAGAGGUAAGUGGAAUUCCGAGUGUAGAGGUGAAAUUCGUAGAUAUUCGGAAGAACACCAGUGGCGAAGGCGGCCCACUGGAUCGGUACUGACGCUGAGGUGCGAAAGCGUGGGGAGCAAACAGG
RNAcentral lists this ribosomal RNA (253 nucleotides) under uncultured bacterium. Its description in RNAcentral is "partial 16S ribosomal RNA". It matches the Rfam family "Bacterial small subunit ribosomal RNA", at positions 524 to 776 of the family's 1533-position model. The record is from RNAcentral.